GGAGACUGCCCGGUGGACAAACCGGAGGAAGGUGGGGAUGACGUCAAGUCAUCAUGGCCCUUACGGCCUGGGCUACACACGUGCUACAAUGGUCGGUACAAAGGGUUGCCAAGCCGCGAGGUGGAGCUAAUCCCAUAAAACCGAUCGUAGUCCGGAUCGCAGUCUGCAACUCGACUGCGUGAAGUCGGAAUCGCUAGUAAUCGUGAAUCAGAAUGUCACGGUGAAUACGUUCCCGGGCCUU
This 241-nucleotide ribosomal RNA is filed under the name uncultured Pseudomonas sp. RNAcentral describes it as "partial 16S ribosomal RNA". It matches the Rfam family "Bacterial small subunit ribosomal RNA", at positions 1144 to 1382 of the family's 1533-position model. Lineage: Bacteria; Pseudomonadati; Pseudomonadota; Gammaproteobacteria; Pseudomonadales; Pseudomonadaceae. The record is from RNAcentral.